This 202-nucleotide long non-coding RNA is filed under the name Mytilus galloprovincialis (Mediterranean mussel). Lineage: Eukaryota; Metazoa; Mollusca; Bivalvia; Mytilida; Mytilidae. The record is from RNAcentral.
GACAUGGUAAAGAUGUAGGUGAGGCAACGAUGUCAUGAUGGAUUUGAUUGAUUGCUGAUUGCAUUACAUCCAGUGGCAAAUAUUGCAUGCAUGUUCAGGACAAAAACAAAUUAACAAAAAGUGCAAUCAUUAGGUCCUGUGAUAGCGAACGUCCAAGAAGAAGUUGGAGAAAUAAGGACUGCCACUGGAAAGUCAGGGGGUC